This 232-nucleotide ribosomal RNA is filed under the name uncultured Streptococcus sp. RNAcentral's name for it is "partial 16S ribosomal RNA". It matches the Rfam family "Bacterial small subunit ribosomal RNA", at positions 449 to 681 of the family's 1533-position model. Lineage: Bacteria; Bacillati; Bacillota; Bacilli; Lactobacillales; Streptococcaceae. The record is from RNAcentral.
GAGAGUGGAAAGUUCACACUGUGACGGUACCUUACCAGAAAGGGACGGCUAACUACGUGCCAGCAGCCGCGGUAAUACGUAGGUCCCGAGCGUUGUCCGGAUUUAUUGGGCGUAAAGCGAGCGCAGGCGGUUAGAUAAGUCUGAAGUUAAAGGCUGUGGCUUAACCAUAGUAGGCUUUGGAAACUGUUUAACUUGAGUGCAAGAGGGGAGAGUGGAAUUCCAUGUGUAGCGG